This 332-nucleotide ribosomal RNA is filed under the name Salmonella enterica subsp. enterica serovar Agona str. 392869-1. RNAcentral describes it as "bacterial SSU rRNA". It matches the Rfam family "Bacterial small subunit ribosomal RNA", at positions 1214 to 1533 of the family's 1533-position model. RNAcentral also lists the same sequence under 2 other names. The record is from RNAcentral. Lineage: Bacteria; Pseudomonadati; Pseudomonadota; Gammaproteobacteria; Enterobacterales; Enterobacteriaceae.
CUACACACGUGCUACAAUGGCGCAUACAAAGAGAAGCGACCUCGCGAGAGCAAGCGGACCUCAUAAAGUGCGUCGUAGUCCGGAUUGGAGUCUGCAACUCGACUCCAUGAAGUCGGAAUCGCUAGUAAUCGUGGAUCAGAAUGCCACGGUGAAUACGUUCCCGGGCCUUGUACACACCGCCCGUCACACCAUGGGAGUGGGUUGCAAAAGAAGUAGGUAGCUUAACCUUCGGGAGGGCGCUUACCACUUUGUGAUUCAUGACUGGGGUGAAGUCGUAACAAGGUAACCGUAGGGGAACCUGCGGUUGGAUCACCUCCUUACCUUAAAGAAGC